GAUGAACGCUGGCGGCGUGCCUAAUACAUGCAAGUCGAGCGAGCGGACGAGAAGCUUGCUUCUCUGAUGUUAGCGGCGGACGGGUGAGUAACACGUGGAUAACCUACCUAUAAGACUGGGAUAACUUCGGGAAACCGGAGCUAAUACCGGAUAAUAUUUUGAACCGCAUGGUUCAAAAGUGAAAGACGGUCUUGCUGUCACUUAUAGAUGGAUCCGCGCUGGAUUAGCUAGUUGGUAAGGUAACGGCUUACCAAGGCAACGAUGCAUAGCCGACCUGAGAGGGUGAUCGGCCACACUGGAACUGAGACACGGUCCAGACUCCUACGGGAGGCAGCAGUAGGGAAUCUUCCGCAAUGGGCGAAAGCCUGACGGAGCAACGCCGCGUGAGUGAUGAAGGUCUUCGGAUCGUAAAACUCUGUUAUUAGGGAAGAACAUAUGUGUAAGUAACUGUGCACAUCUUGACGGUACCUAAUCAGAAAGCCACGGCUAACUACGUG
Molecule: ribosomal RNA, 497 nt
Filed under: uncultured bacterium
Lineage: Bacteria
Description: partial 16S ribosomal RNA
Rfam family: Bacterial small subunit ribosomal RNA
Source: RNAcentral